Molecule: unclassified non-coding RNA, 153 nt
Filed under: uncultured Tetraplosphaeria
Lineage: Eukaryota; Fungi; Ascomycota; Dothideomycetes; Pleosporales; Tetraplosphaeriaceae
Description: sequence contains ITS1
Source: RNAcentral
CCGUGGGGGCCCUCCGGGGCCCCUACCGAGAUAGCACCCCUUGUCUUUUCGAGCACCAACCGUUUCCUCGGCGGGCCCGCCCGCCAACGGGGACCAACACAAACCUUUCAAAACGCAGUAUCAGAAGUAAACCGUACGCAAACAAAACAAUCA